AUUGAACGCUGGCGGCAGGCCUAACACAUGCAGGUCGAACGGUAACAGGAAACAGCUUGCUGUUUCGCUGACGAGUGGCGGACGGGUGAGUAAUGUCUGGGAAACUGCCUGAUGGAGGGGGAUAACUACUGGAAACGGUAGCUAAUACCGCAUAACGUCGCAAGACCAAAGAGGGGGACCUUCGGGCCUCUUGCCAUCGGAUGUGCCCAGAUGGGAUUAGCUAGUAGGUGGGGUAACGGCUCACCUAGGCGACGAUCCCUAGCUGGUCUGAGAGGAUGACCAGCCACACUGGAACUGAGACACGGUCCAGACUCCUACGGGAGGCAGCAGUGGGGAAUAUUGCACAAUGGGCGCAAGCCUGAUGCAGCCAUGCCGCGUGUAUGAAGAAGGCCUUCGGGUUGUAAAGUACUUUCAGCGGGGAGGAAGGGAGUAAAGUUAAUACCUUUACUCAUUGACGUUACCCGCAGAAGAAGCACCGGCUAACUCCGUG
Molecule: ribosomal RNA, 490 nt
Filed under: uncultured bacterium
Lineage: Bacteria
Description: partial 16S ribosomal RNA
Rfam family: Bacterial small subunit ribosomal RNA
Source: RNAcentral